RNAcentral lists this long non-coding RNA (853 nucleotides) under Homo sapiens (human). RNAcentral describes it as "HSALNT0312135". Lineage: Eukaryota; Metazoa; Chordata; Mammalia; Primates; Hominidae. The record is from RNAcentral.
CUUGAAUCACAGGACUGAAUAAGGAAGAGCUGCCCUCAGCGUGGCCGGGCAACAUCUAAUCGGCUGAAAGCUUGGAUCGAAUGAAAAGGCAGAGGAAAGGUGAAUUUUCUUUUUAUCCUGGAGCUGGACACCCUGUUUCUCCUGCCUGUGGACAUCAGAAUUCUAGGCUCUGUGGCAUUUCAACUGUAAAACUUGCACUAGUAGCCAGCUGGUUUCUCAAGUCGUUGGCUUCAAAACUGAGAAGUACAGCAUUCUCUUCCCAGGUUCUGAAGACCUCAAAUGGACUGAGCCACACUACCAGCAUCCAGCAUCCAUGGUUCUCCAGUCUGCAGAUGGCCUAUUAUGGGACUUUUCAGUCUUCAUAAUUAUAUGAGAGAAAGAAAAUGAAAAGGAUUUGUAAACUAUAAAUCUCUAAACAGAUGGGAGGAAAGGAAUUGAUGAAACAAUAAAUUUAUUGAUGAAACAAUAAAAAUAAACAUAAAGAACCAAAGAAAACUGAGCAAAAGAGUGGCUGAAGAAUAGGAAUGAUGAAGAGAAGAAGUAAAAACACCUGAGUCUUGUUCUGUUGUCCAGGCUGGAGUGCAAUGGCGUGAUCUUGGCUCACUGCAACCUCCCCGUCCCAGGUUCAAAUGAUUCUCGUGCCUCAGCCUCCCAGGUAGCUGGGAUUACAGGUAUGCACCACCAGGCCCGGUGAAUUUUUGUAUUUUUAGUAGAGACAGCGUUUUUGCCAUGUUGGCCAGGCUGGUCUCGAGCUCUUGACCUCAAGUGAUCCGCCUUCCUUGGCCUCCCAAAGUGCUGGGAUUACUGGCGUGAGCCACACCGUGCCCUGCCCCAGAUUCUGAGUAUAUUAAAA